This is a non-coding RNA of Pelobates cultripes (western spadefoot toad), 650 nucleotides long. NCBI's taxonomy places the organism in Eukaryota, Metazoa, Chordata, Amphibia, Anura, Pelobatidae. The record is from the annotation of a GenBank genome assembly.
AACUCUCCUAAAAUGCCAUUCUCAGCAUGCAAAUAUGAACAUUAUCAGCACUAAUUUGCAUGUUCAACAUUGCAUUCUGGGAGAGUUGUAGAAUCAAUCUCUAGAGACAUGUACAAUACAUGAUUUUAAAUGGUUUAUUAUAAAAUCCCUUCCACACCAUAAUAUGUCAUUGAAUUAUCUAUUAAGGAAAAGCCCCUAUUACUUCUGGGGCUUAAUUUCCACUGCGUGUCAUUUACUUUAUCAAGUUUCUCUGUUUAGUGCGCACUGGUGGAUAUUUCAAGUACUGCAGUUAGGUAGAAAUAGUGUGCAGGUCAACAUACUGCAGUUCUUACUGUCAAAUAUCACGGAUAGCAAUCCCUUGCGAAAGCAAUGACUUCUGUUUUGAAAUUGGAGGUUUUACACAAUUGUUUGCAUGACUAUAAUUGUUCAAAGAGAUAAUAGCAUGGGAUUUUAGCACCAGAAGAUGAGAGCCUCAUCCUAGAUCUGGAUAGUGUUAAAAAAACUGGCAAAGGCAAGGUCCGACAGUGCAAAAGGUCAACAUUGGCAGCAUAAAACAACAGCGCAGACUGAUAGGUCAAUACCAGCAGAUUAGAAGCAUCAACAAAUUGUUGGAUAAUACCAAAAGCAAUUCAACUGUUGUUUGAGUGGAG